This 366-nucleotide long non-coding RNA is filed under the name Salvia miltiorrhiza (redroot sage). RNAcentral's name for it is "long non-coding RNA (SMIL_LNC002229)". Lineage: Eukaryota; Viridiplantae; Streptophyta; Magnoliopsida; Lamiales; Lamiaceae. The record is from RNAcentral.
UUUGUUUUUGAGGGUGUAGCUCCGCCCCUGCUUAUUCUAGACUCUUCCUAUUUUUCGUUCCCUUGGUGCUUAGCUUAUUACUGUUGGAGGGCUAUGUCUUCAUUCUUUGACUGUUGUUCGUUUGUGGCUCUAGCUUUUUCUUGCUCGUGCAUGGAUAUGGUGGUUUUGGUUGGAGUGGCCGUCCUUUCCCUUGCUGCUUGCACUUUUUGUUCUCCUAUUUUUCUGCUUUCUUCUUGGUUUUCGCUUGUAUUACACAACUACUCUUUUUCUUUUACCACUAUUUCUUCUAUUGAGUUUUUGUCGGAAAUUUUUUGACGAGGCUCAUCCCUUAGUUAGGGUCUCUGUGCUAUCGUUGAGUUUCUUAUG